ACAAUCCAGGCCUUCUUCUCAAAAAGGAGCCUCAGGCAAGCUGCCUGGGACUCCCUGUUUAGUCAGCCGCAAGACUCUAACUUGGCAUUUAGCAAUCACUGUGUGCCUGGCUGGGGUGGGGCCUGCACUGAGUCUCUUCUCAGGCUUGUCACCUCAUUACGACUUCCUGUGGGGCAUCCUCACUAUGGGCAUCUCACUGGGCUUCCAGAAGGAAUUCAGUAUCAGAAACCCAGAGACAGUCUUGGAACUCAAAGAAAUGAAGGGGACGGCUGAAAACCUCAAUACUUACAUUUUUAAACAUGAUGUAUCUUGUGAUGGAUAAUACUGUUCAGAUCAGAUUCCAAUUAAAAUUGAGUCACUAAUUUCA
RNAcentral lists this long non-coding RNA (367 nucleotides) under Rattus norvegicus (Norway rat). RNAcentral describes it as "long non-coding RNA NONRATT011106". The record is from RNAcentral. Lineage: Eukaryota; Metazoa; Chordata; Mammalia; Rodentia; Muridae.